RNAcentral lists this ribosomal RNA (253 nucleotides) under uncultured bacterium. Its description in RNAcentral is "partial 16S ribosomal RNA". It matches the Rfam family "Bacterial small subunit ribosomal RNA", at positions 524 to 776 of the family's 1533-position model. The record is from RNAcentral.
UACGUAGGUGGCAAGCGUUACUCGGAAUCACUAGGCGUAAAGCGCAGGUAGGCGGUUUGAUAAGUCUGUUGUGAAAGCUCCCGGCUUAACUGGGAGAGGUCAACGGAAACUGUCAGGCUAGAGUGUGGUAGAGGUAGCUGGAAUUCCCGGUGUAGCGGUGAAAUGCGUAGAUAUGACAUAGAACACCAAUUGCGAAGGCAGCUCACUACGCGAAUAUUGACACUGAGGCACGAAAGCGUGGGGAUCAAACAGG